UACAGGGGGGGCAAGCGUUGUUCGGAAUUACUGGGCGUAAAGGGCUCGUAGGCGGCCAACUAAGUCGGAUGUGAAAUCCCCAGGCUCAACCUGGGAACUGCAUCCGAUACUGGAUGGCUUGAGUUUGGGAGAGGGAUGCGGAAUUCCAGGUGUAGCGGUGAAAUGCGUAGAUAUCUGGAGGAACACCGGUGGCGAAGGCGGCAUCCUGGACCAACACUGACGCUGAGUGAGCGAAAGCCAGGGGAGCAAACGGG
RNAcentral lists this ribosomal RNA (254 nucleotides) under uncultured bacterium. Its description in RNAcentral is "partial 16S ribosomal RNA". It matches the Rfam family "Bacterial small subunit ribosomal RNA", at positions 524 to 776 of the family's 1533-position model. The record is from RNAcentral.